RNAcentral lists this long non-coding RNA (1113 nucleotides) under Parus major (Great Tit). RNAcentral's name for it is "lncRNA (ENSPMJG00000005497.1)". Lineage: Eukaryota; Metazoa; Chordata; Aves; Passeriformes; Paridae. The record is from RNAcentral.
AUGGCAAACAAGGCUGCAGAGCAGAUGUUUUAUGCGGGAGGCCACCCUGGUCAGCUCCCACUGUACUGUGCCAGAAAAAUCAGCAGAAAUUCAUGUUGCACUGUGAGCAACAUUCGCAUGUCACUGUGUCAUCUAGCUCCCAGAAGAGGAGUGUUACAUGAUGGUGAAAUAAGCAGAGAAAACUGGAUAGCGGCUGGACCAUAUGGUGAAGGGAGCGGCUCCCCAUUAAAGAAACAGAGAAAACAACAGAGCAUUCAGGUUUUAUCCUUCAGUCCUUGAAGAUUACUGAAUUAAAACAAGAAGAAAUGAGAGAAUGAGUAGCUCUAGGUUUACACUUGCUACUAAAGGAGGAAUUGAUGUCAAGCAUAUUAUGGCCUGCUAAGAUACACAAGAAUGGCUGAAAAUGUGUUGAAAGACACGACACAGUCUUUGGGAAGAAACUGUCCUGCUUUUGGCAAAGCAGUUUCCAUCAGUGUCAGUCACCUCCUAACACAGCCUGAUGAGUUACUUGGACCAAAUUCUGUGUGGAAAAAGUGACACAGGAUAGCCAGGAAAUAACAGUGCUCCAGGACACGGGAUCAGUCUAGAAAGACAGCAGCUUGACAGUCGUCAUAUCUGAUGGGUGGGCUGGAUGGAGUUUGGUCUCUUCUUGGCUCACAGCUGUUAGCAAGGUGAAAUCAGCAGGUGAAAGGAAACAUCUCUCACAUCCUCCCUGUGCACCUUUCCUCACCAAGGCUGACUUAAUGUCCCUGGUCCUUCACAGAGAAGAGCAGAAAUUUACUUGAGUCAAAUGGAAAACAUGGUAUGAGUCACAAGUUUGUAGAGUAGUGUGGUUUUUAUGGGUUACAGUGGAGAGUUGAUGGGGUCUCCUGGGUGAUUUCUGAGAAUGCUGUCUAGCAAAGAUACUAUAAAGGAAAAAGAGCAGAAAUGUGUAUUUUCCUUUGUCUGCUUGUCUGUAAUCCCUUUUUCUAAGUGGAAAAUUGAUCAGAUGGUGUUUCUAGCUCUAGUUCCAUUAACUGGUGUAGAAGGCCUCUCUUUUGGCUUUUUCUUGUAUUAUGUUGGAUGGAGGAAAGUAAUAAUAAAGAAUUCUAGAGAGAUAUUUGGUAGUCUACA